CGCCCCCUGCAGCCCAAAGCUUUGAGACUGGGUCUGGACAGUGGGAGGCGGGAUCUUCGGGAGCGCGGGGAACGCUGGGAGCCGGGCGUUGACUGUUCGCGCGUGGGAAAGCAGCCGGCUCGGAAGAAAUCCCCCUCCUCCAGGUUCAUAAUGUAUUGUACAAAUUGAAUACCAGAUGAUGAAUUGACAUUAGCUUCUCUGGGCUUGGAAACUUAACAGAUGAGGGCUAAAAAGAAGAUGUCCUGUGAUCCAUAUUCAACCCUGUUGAAUGGAGAAACAAGAUGGAAGGACCCUGUAUGACUGCAUGGAGCAGCCUGGAACUCAGACACUAAAUUAAGAAAUGAAUUUCUGGGGAAUGAAUUUCUGAGCCUGGGUGACUCAGUCGGUUAAACAUCUGACCCUUGCUUUUGGCUCAGGUCAUGAUCUCA
This is a long non-coding RNA of Leopardus geoffroyi (Geoffroy's cat), 428 nucleotides long. RefSeq lists it as uncharacterized. Lineage: Eukaryota; Metazoa; Chordata; Mammalia; Carnivora; Felidae. The transcript is spliced from 3 exons. The record is from RefSeq and is a predicted model, not a curated record.